Molecule: ribosomal RNA, 351 nt
Filed under: uncultured bacterium
Lineage: Bacteria
Description: partial 16S ribosomal RNA
Rfam family: Bacterial small subunit ribosomal RNA
Source: RNAcentral
CCUACGGGAGGCAGCAGUAGGGAAUCUUCCACAAUGGACGAAAGUCUGAUGGAGCAACGCCGCGUGAGUGAAGAAGGGUUUCGGCUCGUAAAGCUCUGUUGGUAGGGAAGAAAGAUAGAGGGAGUAACGGGCCUUGAUUUGACGGUAAGAACGGAGAAAGGAACGGCUAACUACGUGCCAGCAGCCGCGGUAAUACGUAGGUGGCAAGCGUUGUCCGGAUUUCUUGGGCGUAAAGCGAGUGCAGGCGGUUCCAUAAGUCUGAUGUGAAAGCCUUCGGCUCAACCGGAGAAUUGCAUCAGAAACUGUUGAACUUGAGUGCAGUCGCGGGGAGUUGAACUCCCUGUGUAGCGG